UAACCUGCCCAAGAGAUCGGGAUAACACCUGGAAACAGAUGCUAAUACCGGAUAACAACAGAUGAUGCCUAUCAACUGUUUAAAAGAUGGUUCUGCUAUCACUCUUGGAUUGACCUGCGGUGCAUUAGCUAGUUGGUAGGGUAACGGCCUACCAAGGCGAUGAUGCAUAGCCGAGUUGAGAGACUGAUCGGCCACAUUGGGACUGAGACACGGCCCAAACUCCUACGGGAGGCAGCAGCC
This 240-nucleotide ribosomal RNA is filed under the name uncultured Lactobacillus sp. RNAcentral describes it as "partial 16S ribosomal RNA". It matches the Rfam family "Bacterial small subunit ribosomal RNA", at positions 122 to 355 of the family's 1533-position model. Lineage: Bacteria; Bacillati; Bacillota; Bacilli; Lactobacillales; Lactobacillaceae. The record is from RNAcentral.